RNAcentral lists this ribosomal RNA (1013 nucleotides) under Siphonobacter curvatus. RNAcentral describes it as "bacterial LSU rRNA". It matches the Rfam family "Bacterial large subunit ribosomal RNA", at positions 359 to 1371 of the family's 2925-position model. Lineage: Bacteria; Pseudomonadati; Bacteroidota; Cytophagia; Cytophagales; Cytophagaceae. The record is from RNAcentral.
AGCAGGUGACAGCCCUGUAGAUGUAAAGGUAGUUAACGUAGCAGGAUCCUGAGUAGGUGGGGACCGGUGAAAUCCCCUCUGAAUCUGGCGGCACCAUCCGCCAAGGCUAAAUACUCCCGAGAGACCGAUAGUGAACGAGUACCGUGAGGGAAAGGUGAAAAGUACCCCGAAUAGGGGGGUGAAAAGACCCUGAAACCGCACGCUUACAAGCGGUCGGAGCCAGUUUUCUGGUGACGGCGUGCCUUUUGCAUAAUGACCCUACGAGUUACGGUUACUGGCUAGGUUAAGUAUUGCAGAUACGGAGCCGAAGCGAAAGCGAGUCUGAAUAGGGCGAAGCAAGUCAGUGGCUGUAGACGCGAAACUUUGUGAUCUACCCAUGACCAGGUUGAAGUGUCGGUAACACGACAUGGAGGACCGAACCAGUUGACGUUGAAAAGUCUUUGGAUGAGUUGUGGGUAGGGGUGAAAGGCCAAUCAAACUGAGAGAUAGCUCGUACUCCCCGAAAUGUUUUUAGGAACAGCCUUGGGAUUGAGUUAUACGGAGGUAAAGCUACCGAUAGGACUAGGGGGAGUCAAAUCCUACCAAAUCCUGACGAACUCUGAAUGCCGUAUAAUAUGCCCAGGAGUGAGGGCUGGGGUGCUAAGGUCCCAGUCCGAGAGGGAAAGAACCCAGACCAUCCGCUAAGGCCCCUAAAUCAGGGCUAAGUUGAACAAAGGAGGUCCGACUGCAGAGACAGCCAGGAUGUUAGCUUGGAAGCAGCUNUAUUCAUUUAAAGAGUGCGUAACAGCUCACUGGUCGAGCGGGGCGGGCAUCGAUAAUAAACGGGCAUCAAGUCUUGUGCCGAAGCGAUGGAAGUAGUAAUACUUGGUAGGGGAGCAUUCUCAACGGCAGUGAAGGUGUGGCGGCAAGCCAUGCUGGAGCGUUGAGAAAAGCAAAUGUAGGGAUAAGUAACGAUAAGGAAGGUGAGAAACCUUCCCGCCGUAAGGAUCAGGAUUCCUCAGCUAUGCUAAUCA